Molecule: ribosomal RNA, 253 nt
Filed under: uncultured bacterium
Lineage: Bacteria
Description: partial 16S ribosomal RNA
Rfam family: Bacterial small subunit ribosomal RNA
Source: RNAcentral
UACAGAGGGGGCAAGCGUUGUUCGGAAUUACUGGGCGUAAAGGGCGCGUAGGCGGUUUGGACAGUCAGAUGUGAAAUUCCUGGGCUCAACCUGGGGGCUGCAUUUGAUACGUUCGGACUAGAGUGGGGAAGAGGGUCGUGGAAUUCCCAGUGUAGAGGUGAAAUUCGUAGAUAUUGGGAAGAACACCGGUGGCGAAGGCGGCGACCUGGUCCUUGACUGACGCUGAGGCGCGAAAGCGUGGGGAGCAAACAGG